ACACGUCAGCGGCGGACGGGUGAGUAACACGUGGGCAACCUGCCUGUAAGACUGGGAUAACUCCGGGAAACCGGGGCUAAUACCGGAUAAUGCUUUUCCUCGCAUGAGGAAAAGCUGAAAGAUGGCAUCUCGCUAUCACUUACAGAUGGGCCCGCGGCGCAUUAGCUGUUGGUGAGGUAACGGCUCACCAAGGCGACGAUGCGUAGCCGACCUGAGAGGGUGAUCGGCCACACUGGGACUGAGACACGGCCCAGACUCCUACGGGAGGCAGCAGUAGGGAAUCUUCCGCAAUGGACGAAAGUCUGACGGAGCAACGCCGCGUGAGUGAUGAAGGUUUUCGGAUCGUAAAACUCUGUUGUCAGGGAAGAACAAGUACCGGAGUAACUGCCGGUACCUUGACGGUACCUGACCAGAAAGCCACGGCUAACUACGUGCCAGCAGCCGCGGUAAUACGUAGGUGGCAAGCGUUGUCCGGAAUUAUUGGGCGUAAAGCGCGCGCAGGCGGUUCCUUAAGUCUGAUGUGAAAGCCCCCGGCUCAA
Molecule: ribosomal RNA, 539 nt
Filed under: Cytobacillus firmus
Lineage: Bacteria; Bacillati; Bacillota; Bacilli; Caryophanales; Bacillaceae
Description: bacterial SSU rRNA
Rfam family: Bacterial small subunit ribosomal RNA
Source: RNAcentral